GACGAACGCUGGCGGCGUGCUUAACACAUGCAAGUCGAACGAUGAACCCGGAGCUUGCUCCGGUGGAUUAGUGGCGAACGGGUGAGUAACACGUGAGUAACCUGCCCUUGACUCUGGAAUAACUGCGGGAAACUGUAGCUAAUACCGGAUACGACCCUCGGCGGCAUCGCCAGGGGGGUGAAAGAAUUUCGGUCAAGGAUGGACUCGCGGCCUAUCAGCUAGUUGGUGAGGUAACGGCUCACCAAGGCGACGACGGGUAGCCGGCCUGAGAGGGUGACCGGACACACUGGGACUGAGACACGGCCCAGACUCCUACGGGAGGCAGCAGUGUGGAAUAUUGCACAAUGGGCGCAAGCCUGAUGCAGCAACGCCGCGUGAGGGAUGACGGCCUUCGGGUUGUAAACCUCUUUUGGUAGGGAAGAAGCGAAAGUGACGGUACCUGCAGAAAAAGCACCGGCUAACUAAGUGCCAGCCGCCGCAGUAA
RNAcentral lists this ribosomal RNA (484 nucleotides) under uncultured bacterium. RNAcentral describes it as "partial 16S ribosomal RNA". It matches the Rfam family "Bacterial small subunit ribosomal RNA", at positions 28 to 523 of the family's 1533-position model. The record is from RNAcentral.